GUCUACAGCCAUGCCACCCUGAACAAGCCCGAUCCUGUCUGAUCUCCUAAGCUAAGCAGGGGCAGGCCUGGUUAGUACUUGGAUGGGAGACCACCUAGGAAGACCAGGAGCUGUAGGCG
Non-coding RNA from Pteropus alecto (black flying fox), 119 nucleotides. Lineage: Eukaryota; Metazoa; Chordata; Mammalia; Chiroptera; Pteropodidae. The record is from Rfam.